This 253-nucleotide ribosomal RNA is filed under the name uncultured bacterium. Its description in RNAcentral is "partial 16S ribosomal RNA". It matches the Rfam family "Bacterial small subunit ribosomal RNA", at positions 524 to 776 of the family's 1533-position model. The record is from RNAcentral.
UACGUAGGGUACAAGCGUUGUCCGGAAUUAUUGGGCGUAAAGAGCUCGUAGGCGGCCUGUCGCGUCGACUGUGAAAACCCAGGGCUCAACCCUGGGCCUGCAGUCGAUACGGGCAGGCUAGAGUGCAGUAGGGGAGACUGGAAUUCCUGGUGUAGCGGUGAAAUGCGCAGAUAUCAGGAGGAACACCGGUGGCGAAGGCGAGUCUCUGGACAUUUCCUGACGCUGAGGCACGAAAGCCAGGGGAGCAAACGGG